UGAAUACGAGAUGCUACGGCGUCGAAGCAGUCUAUGUCAUACUUCCAAGAAAAGCUUGCACUGUCAUAAACAAAUAAUGCCUGUACCAUAACCGACACAGGUGGGUAGGUAGAGUAUACUAAGGGGCGCGAGAUAACUCUCUCUAAGGAACUCGGCAAAAUGACUCCGUAACUUCGGGAGAAGGAGUGCCUUAUUUAUAAGGUUGCAAUAACAAGAUCCAAGCAACUGUUUACCAAAAACACAGGUCUCCGCUAAGUCGUAAGACGAUGUAUGGGGGCUGACGCCUGCCCAGUGCCAGAAGGUUAAAGAAGUUGGUUAGCAUCCGCGAAGCUGAUAACUGAAGCCCUGGUGAACGGCGGCCGUAACGAUAACGGUCCUAAGGUAGCGAAAUUCCUUGUCGGGUAAGUUCCGACCCGCACGAAAGGCGUAAUGAUUUGGAUACUGUCUCGGAGAGGGGCUCGGUGAAAUAGACUUGUCUGUGAAGAUGCGGACUACCUGCACCAGGACAGAAAGACCCUAUGAAGCUUUACUGUAACCUGAAAUUGAAAUUGGACUUUACUUGCGCAGUAUAGGUGGGAGCGUUGAGAAUAUUCUUGCGGGAUUAUUGGAGCCAUCAGUGAGAUACCACUCUUGUAAUGUUAGAUUUCUAACUUUGUAUCAUUAUCUGGUCAAAGAACAGUUUCAGGCGGGCAGUUUGACUGGGGCGGUCGCCUCCUAAACGGUAACGGAGGCGCACAAAGGUUUCCUCUGAACGGGUAGAAAUCGUAUCUAGAGUGUAAAGGCAUAAGGAAGCUUGACUGUGAGACCUACAAGUCGAGCAGGGACGAAAGUCGGUCUUAGUGAUCUGACGGUGCUGAGUGGAAAGGCCGUCACUCAACGGAUAAAAGUUACUCUAGGAUAACAGGCUGAUCUCCCCCAAGAGUUCACAUCGACGGGGAGGUUUGGCACCUCGAUGUCGGCUCAUCGCAUCCUGGGGCGGUAGUACGUCCCAAGGGUUGGGCUGUUCGCCCAUGAAAGCGGUACGCGAGCUGGGUUCAGAACGUCGUGAGACAGUUCGGUCCAUAUCCGGUGUAGGCGUUAGAAUAUUGAGAGGAGCCUUCUUUAGUACGAGAGGACCGAGAAGGACAUACCUCUGGUGUACCAGUUAUCGUGCCAACGGUAAACGCUGGGUAGCUAUGUGUGGAGUGGAUAACCGCUGAAAGCAUCUAAGUGGGAAGCCCACCUCAAGAUAAGUAUUCUCAUAAA
This 1245-nucleotide ribosomal RNA is filed under the name metagenome. RNAcentral's name for it is "bacterial LSU rRNA". It matches the Rfam family "Bacterial large subunit ribosomal RNA", at positions 1564 to 2820 of the family's 2925-position model. The record is from RNAcentral.